GUCCCAGUUCGAAUUGUAGUCUGCAACCCGACUACAUGAAGCCGGAAUCGCUAGUAAUCGCGGAUCAGAAUGCCGCGGUGAAUACGUUCCCGGGUCUUGUACACACCGCCCGUCACACCAUGGGAGUCGGAAAUGCCCGAAGUCGGUGACCCAACCGCAAGGAGGGAGCCGCCGAAGGCAGGUCCGGUAACUGGGGUGAAGUCGUAACAAGGUACC
RNAcentral lists this ribosomal RNA (216 nucleotides) under uncultured bacterium. Its description in RNAcentral is "partial 16S ribosomal RNA". It matches the Rfam family "Bacterial small subunit ribosomal RNA", at positions 1285 to 1500 of the family's 1533-position model. The record is from RNAcentral.